This 440-nucleotide ribosomal RNA is filed under the name uncultured bacterium. Its description in RNAcentral is "partial 16S ribosomal RNA". It matches the Rfam family "Bacterial small subunit ribosomal RNA", at positions 338 to 795 of the family's 1533-position model. The record is from RNAcentral.
CCUACGGGAGGCAGCAGUGGGGAAUAUUGCACAAUGGGGGAAACCCUGAUGCAGCGACGCCGCGUGAGUGAAGAAGUAUUUCGGUACGUAAAGCUCUAUCAGCAGGGAAGAAAAUGACGGUACCUGACUAAGAAUCCCCGGCUAACUACGUGCCAGCAGCCGCGGUAAUACGUAGGGGGCAAGCGUUAUCCGGAUUUACUGGGUGUAAAGGGAGCGUAGACGGCAGCGCAAGUCUGGAGUGAAAUCCCAUGGCUUAACCAUGGAACUGCUUUGGAAACUGGGCAGCUAGAGUGCAGGAGAGGUAAGCGGAAUUCCUAGUGUAGCGGUGAAAUGCGUAGAUAUUAGGAGGAACACCAGUGGCGAAGGCGGCUUACUGGACUGUAACUGACGUUGAGGCUCGAAAGCGUGGGGAGCAAACAGGAUUAGAUACCCGAGUAGUC